CACUUUUGCUUGAGGUUAUUUUUAUAUAAGCUUUAAUAAUGUUACCCAUGUGAUUUAUGAGCAUUGAAAGUGAUAUUUAUGUGUUUUUAUGUAUGGGUUUUGUAUUGGUGGAAUUAUUUGAUGAGUGGGUAUAUAUUUUGUGCUAUUGAUGACUACUUAAGGUCAACCACUCAUUUCCACACUAUCCAUUCUCUCUUGGCCGGCUCUUUCACUUCACUUCUUUUCUUUCUUUUUUUUCAUUCUCUCAUACGCUCCUCUCUACUCUCAUCUUCUCCACCGGCACUUCCACACCACCACCACCAUUUCCACCAUCAUUUUCUGGCAAGAUAACUGGAAAUUUUUUUGGGAACCCAUAAACAUCUUCACAUCCUUUUUUUGAGGUUCUAGCUAAUUUCCUUGGAGCUUGGAGAAUUAGGAUUUUGCGAUUGUAAGGUAAGUAGCUUUUUAAUGGGUAUUUUUGGAAAAUAACCAUGUCUUAUAAAUAUUGUUUUUGAGUCAAACACAUUUUGGAAAAUGAUAUAUAUGGAUAUAUGCUUUCUUAAAUGUAUUGUGUUGUGACCCUUACUAUAUAUGAAAAAUGCAUCAUAUUUGGUAUUGCAUUUGGGGAAAUGCAUGAAUUGUUGAUAUGGAAAAAUGAGCAUCAUUUAUUUAAUCUUUGAUAAGAAAAUCAUUGAUUUUAUGGUGUAUUGAAAAAUUUAAAGAUGCUUAUCUUGUCUUGUAUUAUUUGAGAAAUUGUUAGAAAAUCUUUUGACAAGAAUGAAAUUUGAAAACCUUACAAACUUUGUAGAAGUUAGAUUAUUUAAGGUUUUCUAAAACUACUUGGAUAUGAACUAUGUGUUUCAAAGUAAGGUAACCUGUGAGUUUAUGUGAUUUUAGCCCUAUGCCAUGUGUGAUUUCUCGGUGAUCACCCGAUUUGGUUUCAGUAGUCUUUGUGACAACGGAAUCAAAUCCAGGUCAGUGUCCUUUCACUUUGGAUGAUGCGUUCUUCCCUGCUGUCCAUGGGGGGAAGAGGUUCCUUGAUUGUGUGUGGGUGAGGUUGUUGCCCAUGGGGCCAAGAGACCACAUGCAAGAGAGGUCCUAUUUGACGCGCUCUCUCUGCUGCCCAUGGGGGGAGAGAAAAACCUUGAGGGUAUGGGUGAGGUUGCUAUCCAUAAGGCCAAGAGUCUGCAUACCAAAGAGGAUAAUAUCAUGCCAGUUGUGAAUGGGUGGAUCCCCUGACCAGUUUAUGUGGUAGUGUGGCAGAUUUGUGAUAAUUUAUCUUAUGUUAGAUAUUAUGGUUUUAGAAAUUAUAUUGUUGAUGCUCACAUAUUAUAGUAUAUAGUUUCAAGGUAUUUACUUUGAGAAACUUUGUGUUUCAUUAUGUAAUCAUUCUUGUCAUAUUAUUAUUAUUGAAGAUGAAACUUGCAUUUCCCCCCCUCCCAUUAAAUAUGCUACUUACUGGGCUCUGUCUCAUUCCAUUAUUUUAUAAACUUUUCAGAGUAGGCAACAAUCUUUUGAGACAGCUUUUUGGGUGGCUAAUAGUAGUUAGACUAACUACUGAUUGAUGCUGAACUUUUGUAAUGGAUAUAUUAGAUGGUGUACAUUUUAGACUAGGUUUGACUCAUUCUUUUAUGUAUUAUAGUGGUUAUGACUAUAUUCCUACUAAUGGGACAAGCUGUUGAUAUGUAAUUGUUUAUUCAGACCUCUAUUCUUUUGUGGCCAAUGGUCCUUGUAAUUAAUGCUUAAAGCUCUCACUUACUUUGUGAGUAUAUUCUAUGGGAUUAUUAUGAUAA
This is a long non-coding RNA of Quercus robur (English oak), 1772 nucleotides long. RefSeq lists it as uncharacterized. Lineage: Eukaryota; Viridiplantae; Streptophyta; Magnoliopsida; Fagales; Fagaceae. The transcript is spliced from 2 exons. The record is from RefSeq and is a predicted model, not a curated record.